Molecule: ribosomal RNA, 589 nt
Filed under: Lachancea thermotolerans
Lineage: Eukaryota; Fungi; Ascomycota; Saccharomycetes; Saccharomycetales; Saccharomycetaceae
Description: partial small subunit ribosomal RNA
Rfam family: Bacterial small subunit ribosomal RNA (bases 126-589)
Source: RNAcentral
CGAAAGAUUGACCCAGUUACUUAUUAGGAUGAUAUAUAAAAAUUAUAAUUUAAUAUAUUAAAUUAAUAAUUUAAUAUAAAAAUUAUAUAAAAAUUAUAUAAAUUGAUUAAAAAUAAAGUCCAUAAAUAGUGAAAAUAAUGAUAUUAGCUACCAUAAUAAAUAUUAUGGAUAAAAUUAAUAUUUAAUUUUAUUUUAAUAGUCCUAACCAAAAUUUGUGCCAGCAGCUGCGGUAAGACAAUGGGGGCUAGCGUUAAUCAUAAUGGCUUAAAGGGUCCGUAGAAUGAAAAUAUCAAAAUUUUUUAGAGUUAAUAAAUUUAAUUAAAGAAUUAUAAUAGUAAGGAUGAAAUGAUAAUAAUCAUUAUAAGACUGGUAUGUGUGAAGGUAUUAAUUAAAUAUUAACUGACAUUGAGGGACGAAAGCUAGAGUAGCAAUACGGAUUCGAUACCCGAGUAGUUCUAGCUGUAAACUAUGAACACCAUUUAUUUCAACAAAAUAAAUAAAUGAAAAUGAAAGUGUUCCGCCUGAAGAGUACGUUCGCAAGAAUGAAACUCAAGACAAUAGACGGUUACAGACUUAAGCAGUGGAGCAU